CGAGGGGAUCGCAAGACCUUGCGCUGAUUGAGCGGCCGAUAUCAGAUUAGCUAGUUGGUGAGGUAAAGGCUCACCAAGGCGACGAUCUGUAGCGGGUCUGAGAGGAUGAUCCGCCACNCUGGAACUGANACACGGUCCAGACUCCUACGGGAGGCAGCAGUGGGGAAUUUUUGGACAAUGGGCGCAAGCCUGAUCCAGCCAUGCCGCGUGAGUGAAGAAGGCCUUCGGGUUGUAAAGCUCUUUCAGCCGGGAAGAAAACGCAUGGGUUAAUACCCUGUGUGGAUGACGGUACCGGAAUAAGAAGCACCGGCUAACUACGUG
This 321-nucleotide ribosomal RNA is filed under the name uncultured bacterium. Its description in RNAcentral is "bacterial SSU rRNA". It matches the Rfam family "Bacterial small subunit ribosomal RNA", at positions 196 to 507 of the family's 1533-position model. The record is from RNAcentral.